UACGGGGGGGGCAAGCGUUGUUCGGAAUUACUGGGCGUAAAGGGCUCGUAGGCGGCCAACUAAGUCGGACGUGAAAUCCCUCGGCUUAACCGGGGAACUGCGUCCGAUACUGGAUGGCUUGAGUUUGGGAGAGGGAUGCGGAAUUCCAGGUGUAGCGGUGAAAUGCGUAGAUAUCGGGAGGAACACCAGUGGCGAAGGCGACUUCCUGGCCUGUUCUUGACGCUGAGGCGCGAAAGCUAGGGUAGCAAACGGG
RNAcentral lists this ribosomal RNA (253 nucleotides) under uncultured bacterium. RNAcentral's name for it is "partial 16S ribosomal RNA". It matches the Rfam family "Bacterial small subunit ribosomal RNA", at positions 524 to 776 of the family's 1533-position model. The record is from RNAcentral.